RNAcentral lists this small nuclear RNA (22 nucleotides) under Arabidopsis thaliana (thale cress). Its description in RNAcentral is "snRNA_02782". Lineage: Eukaryota; Viridiplantae; Streptophyta; Magnoliopsida; Brassicales; Brassicaceae. The record is from RNAcentral.
AGUUAUCUGGUAUAGAAAUUAC